UUCCUGUAUAACCAUGAAACAUUAAAGAGUUCAACAAGCUUAGUAAGGCCUAUUGCAGCUCCCAAAAGACUUAUUUAAGACGUACCAAGCGAGGCUCGGAUUGUCGAGUGAUAUAUAUGUGAAUCUCAAGGUUUAGUUUCUUAGAGAAGAAAGGGCAAAUGGAAGGUAUGUCAAUUGCUGAGAGCAGAGAGAGCUCGUCUGAGUUUUUAAUGGCCCAUACAACUAAAACCUUACUAGGUAAACAAGCUUUCCCAUCUCUUUUACGGUGUAGGAUAUCGCUUAAGAUGGCGAAAAAAGGCGUAAUCCCGAUUCCUCCUGCUACUAAGACCAGGUUCUCAUACCUGCACCCGCAAUAAAUCUUUCUUGAGUUAAGCUAAAGCUUAUGGCAUUGAAAAAAUUUCAAGUAGACGAAAUGCAUUACGCUAAAUGGUAUGGAGAUUCAUGGCCAUAAGGUCCCUCCACACAAGUUGUGAUUUUAGGAUAUGACUGAGGAGAAAUGAGCUGAUCUUGGUUCUCUGCCUCGUAUAGAUUUGACAACUGGUCUCUAAGCUUUGCAGUCCAUCCACCAAGAACCUUUAUGAGAACCGCAACAUGAUGGUUCCCAUCUAGAGGGCUUGAAGAAACACUAAAUGGAUGCCAUUGUAGCCAAGAUAGUUCCCUCACUUGAAGAAAGAUAAAGCUAAGCGCAUUGUAUCGCAUAUCUGAUUUUUGCGGUAUUGAAGAAGAAAAAAGUCAGUAAAUGUUUUAGAUUAGAGGUAGAAAACAGAGAAUAAACAGAGUUGUUACUUGGUGGUUUUGAAAGGACUAGUUCAAGAGUUCCACAAGGUAAACUCUUUGCAGAGAUUACAUCAACAGUCCUUCUUGAUUGGCAGAACCUCAAGAAGCGGUCUAGAAUGAAAAGAAAUAUUCCUCCAGCAACUAUACUAAACAUGUAAUCACCAACAUGAAGUGCCAAGAACACAAUAAAGACGAUGUAUAGUUGAUGUGUGUAGAAGAAGAGCUCAAAGUAAUUCUUUCUCACGGUGUGAAGCGAUGUGACCCACAUCAGUAAACCCGCCACUAGACUGAUAACUCCGGGUAAGAUAGCAAUUCCGAUAGCAUUCCAUGAAAAUAUCUGAGAGGAGUAAGUAGUUGAUGAUGAUGAAACUUUACAAUAGAAAAUAAGAAGAUAAAAUUGUGACUUAUAGAGUAUAGACCUAUCUUGAACCGAUGAUCGACACUAUACUAUAGUAGAUAAACUAGGCUAUACUAUUAUGUCAAGAUUCAAUGAUGUUGUAGGAUCUUACAAGCUCUAAAAGUUGACCUUGAAUGAUCCAUCCAACAACAUAACAGAGGCCAUGUAAGGAGAAGAAAGCCAUGGUGAUAUGACCAAGCCAAACAUGAUAUCUUGUAGCAUGUUCAAAAGGGAUAUCGAUAAGACGGAGAAGAAUGGAACCUCUCGAGAUUGGAAGAAACAAAAAAACCAUACACAACAAUCCAAUCAUUCCUAAACGCAGACCCGUUACCUCCAACAGAAGAAUACUGAAAAUACACACACACAAAACUAAUGAUUGGAAUGAGAAGGAAAAAGACAAAGAUGGGAAAAAAAAAGGAAGAGUUUUAAGAACCUUCGAUUCUUGGGAAGGACGUGGAAGCGUUCAAGAAGGUCAAGAUUCCUCAAGGUAUAAGCAUAGAUAGACCAAAGGAAAAAAACAGAGAAGACCAUAAUUCCAAGAAACUCAGCUGCAGAAACAACUCCAAAUGGUCCAUCCACAAGAACAGGGAAUGUCCAUAGCCUAAACCUCGGGAAUUUCGAUAUCUUCUUCCUUCACAAUCAUCAUGACACACACAUUUAUGCAAGAACAAAAAUUGAUACAACCAAAAGAAUGCAAUUGGGGAUAUUAUUACACGUACUUAGUGAAGACCUUGUCUUCCCCGGAGAUAAUGAGAUAGAGAGAAGCUAAGACAGAGAUGACAAGAAUCGGACAACUGAAAAUCAAGAACAUGGUUCCUGCAAAUUUAGACAAUUAAAGGAUGAAAUUAGUUACACUUUUUGGACAUGUUUCCGUAGAAAGCAAAGCAUCUGCUCGUUAAUGUAACCUGUGGUGCCUAGGAAAGUCUUGGAGGAGACAAAUGUGAGGAAAUCAUCACCGAGUUGUUCAGGGUACAUCAUCAUAAGAAAAACAACCCAAGUCACAAAAAUCAUAGACAUUACAACUUUCAAUAUCCAUUUCAAAGAUGAAGUAAUCACAGAUGAUGAUGAUGAUGAGUCCUUGGACAAAAGAGGGGUUUCAUAAUCAUCCAUCUUUAUUUGAAUUUCCACUUCUCAGUGUUGUGAUGAGAAGUUGGCUCAGAAGCAGCAUCGGCUUUUAAGGUGGCGUUACUAGAGAUAAACUAAUAAGAUAUUCUUAGAAGAGUCAAGUAAAAUUUUCUGGACCAUUGAGGUUUCUAUCAUUCUCAUUUAUGAAAGAUUCCUUCGGACAACAAUCCUAGUACACAAUAAAAAAAACUAUAAAAAAAAAUGAGAGUGUCAUUAACACGUGAGAGUAACGUACUUGGGAGAGAGUGUCACGUUAGGUUGAUUUCAACCACAAUUAAGGGUAAGGUGAGAGACUGAGAGUACUUACUACUUUAGUAUAGAUAAGAUGGUUAUUAUGACGACUAUGAUGGUUAUUGGAUAAGCUUACAUUACCUGAAUCUGAACAUAUAGAAUUUCAACAUCAUUCGGAUUAGCUCGAAAGAAACAUUAUUCGGUUUCCGCGUUCAAGAUCCAGCAGAGAGAUAAAUUUGCAAAGUUUCACUGUUAGAUUGUUUCUGGUAAAUGACACUAUCUAACAAUGUGUUACGUUAAACAAGAAUAAUCGACUAUCAUGAAGUUGUAUCAAUCUCGAACACACAAGUUAUAAUCAGUCCAAGGAAAAACUUAGAUGUAUAUAGUCAAAAAAAUUCUUCAUUACACUUUUAAGUAACCGAAACAAAAUCCAAUAACAAAUAAAAGUACCACUUAGACUUAGCUACGAUUUACAUGUCAACAAAAGAACACUAAGAAAUUAUAAUUAAGUCUCAUGAAGUUGUAUGUGUAGACAAAAAAGAAUUAUAAUCAGGCCUAGAGAGAGUAAAGUUUGAUUUCAACCACACUUUAGGGAAGGUGAGAGUAUUGACUAUUGAGUAUGGAUAAGAUGAUUAUAAUGACGAUUGUAAUGGUUGUUGUACCAUUAUAUUUAUAUAUUAAGUUAUUAACUCAAAAGAACUAAGAAAUUGCUAUCAUGAAGUAGCAUCAAUCUCAAAAAUUAGUUAAAGUUGUUUCCAUAAUACAUACAGACUGUGAUUAUAUAAAUUAUAUGCAUCGAUAAUAUAUCUUCGAAUUUCCAUAAUGUUCUUUGGCCUUGAGAGCAUCGUUAGAGAUCGAAACUGUGGCUGUUGAAGUGGAAAAGAGGAUGAUUCGCCGAUCGCCAGAUGCUAUGUGACCGUAUUUCUUUGGCUACGGUCGUCUGAAGAGUCGCUGGACCGCAUACUAUCACUCCAACAUCCACACUCCCCCAUUUCCCAUUCAAUGACUCAAAUAUCUCUGCAAUUACAAAAUAAAAAUAUUACAUGAACCAAUCAAAGAUUUAACUUAACCGAAUCGAGCCAAAUAUCUACACCAAAAGUCGGAUUCAAGAACCGAACGAAACCGUGUCAAACCGUUCCGAAUGAUUUCAGUUUCUAUAAUUUUAUAAAUAAAAAAACGAGAUAACUGGACUUGACACCGCUAAUUUUGUAGUGUAUACCUCUAAAGGCCGGUCUGGUGCCAUAACGAAUAGUGGUGUAAUUCUGGACAUCUUCUUCUAUUGCCAAGCCCUUAAGCUCUGCUGCAGAUGGAUUAUGGGUUUCUUCUCCAUUCAAAUCUACCUUGUCGUUGCCAUUUGCUUCCACUUCACCGGUUUUGUGUUCCCAGCGAUGCCAGAAAACAACCACAAGACCUCCAAAAAUCAACACACUUGCAACCAUACAAACAACAAACAGAAGUCCCUUGUACCACCAUGUUGUUAUGUUGUACUUGUUUAUGUAAAAGAUGUCCACCAAUGUGAUCAUUGCAAUAAACCCAAUGGUGGAGAUAAUUAGAUAGAGUCCAGACCAUAUGUUAUCCCCUGUACCAACUAAAACCGACAUGGAACAUCCGUUGGUCCAUGGUGUUUUGACAGAAGGAUGCACCACCUUGUGAACCAUCCCAUCUUCCUGUAUAACCAUGGAACAUUGAAGAGUUCAAAAACUAAGUAAGGCCUAUUGCAGCUCCCAAAAGAGUUAUGUAAGACUUACCAAGCAAGGCUCGGAUUGUCGAGUGACAUAUAUGUGAAUCUCAAGGUUUAGUUUCUUAGAGAAGAAAUGGCAAAUGGAAGGUAUGUCAAUUGCUGAGAGCAGAGAGAGCUCGUCUGAGUUUUUAAUGGCCCAUACAACUAAAACCUUACCAGGUAAACAAUCUUUCCCAUCUCUUUUACGGUGUAGGAUAUCGCUUAAGAUGGCAAAAAAAGGCGUAAUCCCGAUUCCUCCUGCUACUAAUACCAGGUUCUC
This 4530-nucleotide long non-coding RNA is filed under the name Arabidopsis thaliana (thale cress). RNAcentral's name for it is "long non-coding RNA (ATHA_LNC000480)". The record is from RNAcentral. Lineage: Eukaryota; Viridiplantae; Streptophyta; Magnoliopsida; Brassicales; Brassicaceae.